RNAcentral lists this long non-coding RNA (1947 nucleotides) under Marmota monax (woodchuck). The record is from RNAcentral. Lineage: Eukaryota; Metazoa; Chordata; Mammalia; Rodentia; Sciuridae.
GGGGCAUCUAGGUUGGUUUCACUAUUGUGUUUAGCUAUUGUGAAUUGUGCUGCUAUAAACAUUGAUGUGGCUGUGUCCCCACAGUAUGCUGAUAUUAAGUCCUUUGGGUAUAAACCAAGGAGAGGGAUAACUGGGUCAAAUGGUGGCUCCAUACCCAGUUUUCCAAGGAAUCUCCACACUGCUUUCCGUAUUGGCUGCACCAAUUUGCAGUCCCACCAGCAAUGUAUGAAUGUGUCUUUUCCUCCACAUCCUCGCCAACACUUAUUGUUGUUUGUCUUCAUAAUAGCUGCCAUUCUGACUGGAGUGAGAAUGAUAUCAGAGUAGUUUUGAUUUGUCAUAUAUUUGUUGACUGAUCAUAUUUGUUCUGUGAAGUGCUUGUUCAGUUCCUUUGCCCAUUUAUUGAUUGGGUUUUUCUUUUUCUUUUUUUUUUAAGUUUUUUGAGAUCUUUAUAUAUCUUAGAGAUUAAUGCUCUAUCUGAGGAGAAGGUAGAAAAGACUUUCUCCCAUUUGGUAGGCUCUCUCUUCACAUUCUUGAUUGUUUCUUUUGCUGUGAAGAACUUUUUAGUUUGAUUCCAUCCCAUUUGUUGAUUCUUGGUUUUAGAGAAGUCUCCAUUUGUAAGGGUGGUUCCCUCUCUAUCCCUGCAGGAGAUGGAGGACUAAAUUACUGGAUGCUCUCAGAGUGAAGGUGAUGAUUUGGGUCUGUGUCACAAGCCUCACCUUUGCCCAUUUGUCCUAAGUAGGAUUCCUAUGUGUGCUUGUCUGGGUCUCAGCAGAUGUUGGUAGGUAGGCCUGGAAUGUGAUUAUGUCAGACAUGUAGAUGACAAUCCUUUAGGGCAAUAAUCAGACAAGUCAAUCAAGAAGAGGGAACGAAUCCUUUUACUCUAUUCCCUUGCUGAAAUGAGCAAAACAAAAUGGUCAAGGGCAAAGAAAAUACCAUCAGAACAACUACUUUUUUUUUUUUUGACAAGCGAUUGAACCCAGGGACACUUAUCCACCAAGCCACAUCCCCAGCCCUUUUUAAUUUAUUUAUUUAUUUUAUUUUUAGACAGGGUCUUGCCAGAUUGCUUACAGCCUCACUAAAUUGCUGAGGCUGGCUUUGAACCUGUGAUCCUCUUGCCUCAGCCUCUUGAGCAACUGGGAUUACAGGCAUGCACCACCACACCUCGCAGAGCAAAUGGUUUUUAAAAAAUAUUCUUAGAAUAAUAGAUGAUAGGUUGUAAUAAGGUCUGUCUGGGUGCAAUGAAGUAUUCUGUCCUGUGAUGAGUUAGAGCCGAGUCCCUUUGGAGGCUCCAAGUGAGAGGAACUUAGAAAACCUACAUUUUGGUGUACAAGUGCCUUCUACUUAAAAGUAAUCAAUAUACUCAAGAAAUAUAUUUGGGGAUGGUAUUUCCUGAACUCCUUCAAUGGCUUUGUUUAGUGAUCAAUUCAAGAAUAAUUGGUAAUUAGAGUUAAACCUGGUGCAUAUAUGGAAGUUUGUGAACGAAGUUGUGGUAGUUUCAGGAAUAGUUCUCAAUGGCGGGAAGCCUUGGAGUCUAGUUGUAGUAAUUUAAAGAGUAGAUAUUUAUGAAAUGUCUGUGCCAUUUUCAAGUAAAUUCUAAAACAUGGGCCUUUACCAUUCUGAUUUGAUUGUGUGUUGGAGGAAGACAGUCUGAUGACAUGAUAAAUGUGAUUCUGACCUGCUGGAGAUGUUCCAAUUACCUUUGAUUGGAAUAGGCUAUUGUAAAUUCUUCUGAAGACAAAACAGCUAUUUUCGGCUUUCAUUGAAAAAAAAAGAAGAAUGUGUCUUGACUAAUUGGAAAAAAUUAAGUAGUGAAACACAUCCACUUAAUGGAUAUUUGAUGGCUUAUAACAUUUUAGUAGGUCUAGAGAUAUAUGACAAACAAGGUAGAGUUCCUUUUCCUCAUGGAGUGUUAUAGAAGCAGAUGCAUACACACGGAACAAGUAAAAA